UUUGGGUGAGUGAGAAGAGAGCUUCUCCUCUUUGGUGGCCGGCGGCUUGUGAUUCCGGCAGGGAAGGAGGACUGUAUCCUCAUCAAGACGUGACUGUGAAGGGGAACCGGCUUGUUACGAGAGCCGCACCAUGGUGGUGGGCGUUUCUGGACAGAUUCCAGUGGUGGAGGAGCGGCACUUUCCUUCCUUUUAUUCUGACAGUGGAGAUGGCGGCGUCGACAUGACGCCGGCGGUGGGUCUGUAGCAUCGACCCUCUCCCCCUUCUCACUGUUGAUUUUUUUUUAUGGCUUUGACGGCAAGGCUGAAGAACGACCGGCGGUGGGCCUGCCGUCGGUCCUGAUUGGUUUCAGGGAGGAACCAUCUCCCUCUCAUGUUAUAUGUCUCCAAACAUACAUUGAUUUAUGGAACUAACAUUUUACUAUGAACUUGCAAACAUAUUAUGAUUGUUGUAGUGACUGAAUUUGUUACUCAUGAAUUAAAAGAGACUAAAAAUGACAGCAUUUGUUAUAAUGACUUGUGGAUAAAGACCAAAUGUGUUCUGUAUAUUCAUGGUGCAUGUUACUAAUGAUAGCAUUUUACAAAUGAAAAAAAAUUAUCUUUUUCACAUGAACAAAACAUUAACUCAACAAUGCCUACUCUUAAACUCAAUACCUAUAUUUGAAUGCUUGAGUCUGGAUGAGUGAAAUAAAUAUAUACAAUAUGCAUUAUAGAUACAGGGAUAACAUUUAGGUUUAACGUAAUAUCAUAUAUAUUGACGAUAUAUAAUACUAACCUGGUAAAUUGGAUAUAUGGUGGAGUCGCUUUCUCUACUCAAUUGCCUUUAGUGUUGAUCACCUUCCCUUACUGCUCU
Lupinus albus (white lupine) is the source of this 850-nucleotide non-coding RNA. Lineage: Eukaryota; Viridiplantae; Streptophyta; Magnoliopsida; Fabales; Fabaceae. The record is from the annotation of a GenBank genome assembly.